Molecule: long non-coding RNA, 571 nt
Filed under: Monodelphis domestica (gray short-tailed opossum)
Lineage: Eukaryota; Metazoa; Chordata; Mammalia; Didelphimorphia; Didelphidae
Description: lncRNA (ENSMODG00000033009.2)
Source: RNAcentral
CAACUGCUGACUGAUUUUCUGGGCUUCUUGGCUGAUGGUGGUGACUCUGAAGAAAGAAGCUGGGUUUAUCUCUGGGUCUUGGGAUAAUCAAGUUGGAAGUGGCCUGGCUGAUUUGAAGGUAGAAGGUAGAAGGUUGAAGACAGGAAACUGCCUUAUACUUCUCUUAUGUCCACCAAAUCACCUAACCCUGUGCUGGAUAUGUGCAUAUGAUGAGUUGACCUUGGACAGCCACUUUGCCUUUUGCAUUUUAUUUCUGCUCUACAAAAUAAGGAGAAUUCUACCCAUACCAUAUAACUGUUGUGAGAAUAAAAUGAGAUAUAGCCUGGGUAACCUGUUUGACUUGGUGUGUUUCCUAUUCCAUAUAUUAACAUUUAGUAGACUAGAAUUUUUUACAGGGAGCUGAACUUGAUCUUUUGUCCCCUGAGAUCUACCUUGAACCUCCCUGGCAUUAAUGAUGACAUAUGUAGAAUGAUUUGUAAGUUUAAAAUACUACACAAAUGUAAAUAAUGAUCAUAUGAAAAAGUAUUAUUCUAGACUAUGCAUCAUGCAAAUAAAAUUAGGAAAUUGUUCA